AGAGGGUGCGAGCGUUGUCCGGAAUUACUGGGCGUAAAGGGCGCGUAGGCGGCCUGAUAAGUCGGGGGUGAAAUUCAGCGGCUCAACCGCUGGACUGCCUUCGAGACUGUCGGGCUCGAGCACGGUAGAGGCUGGUGGAAUUCCCGGUGUAGCGGUGGAAUGCGUAGAGAUCGGGAAGAACAUCGGUGGCGAAGGCGGCCAGCUGGGCCGUUGCUGACGCUGAUGCGCGACAGCGUGGGGAGCAAACAGGAUUAGAUACCCUGGUAGUCCACGCCGUAAACGAUGGGCACUAGGCGCCGGGGGGAGCGACCCCUUCGGUGCCGUCGUUAACACAGUAAGUGCCCCGCCUGGGGAGUACGGCCGCAAGGCUGAA
This 373-nucleotide ribosomal RNA is filed under the name uncultured bacterium. Its description in RNAcentral is "bacterial SSU rRNA". It matches the Rfam family "Bacterial small subunit ribosomal RNA", at positions 527 to 898 of the family's 1533-position model. The record is from RNAcentral.